GUGGGCCUUUGUGAGCAAUGGAGUCUGCGAGGAGCCAGGAUCCUGCUCAGAUGAGGGUUGCUAUGCUUACCCUGACGAGAAUAGAUACCCCCAGCGGAAAAGGAGGAGGAUCAGUGCCGAGAUUACAGGUGUGGCCCUGAUCCUGGGAAGCAGGAGGUCAAGUCUGGACGUGAGUCUUUGUAGACAUAAUGAAGCUGAUUCCAAGUGACUGAGGUGAGACCACCCUGGGUCAUCCAGGAGGGACCCGGAAAGAUAAACAGUGUCCUGAUAGAUUCAGAAAAGGGGAAGAGAGACAGCCUGGUGACCACGGAGGAAGAAACUGGGCAGCUCGGCCACAGACUGGGAGGGGUGGACUGCAGAGAGCACCAGUAGCCGGAAGAGGGCAGGUGAACCCUUGCUGGAGACCCAAGGCAGCAUCUGUCACUCGGUGACGUGGGCUUUCUUGCCCAUGCUGCUCAAGGUCAAAUUCUUGCUGUUGCAGCUCAGGGUACUGUAUUUGCCCAAACCCACGGCCAGCCAGCAGCCGCCACGCACCACAGGAUGCCAAUAUCUAGCCCAAUGGGUCCUGCUGAGUGCUGUCCUGUAUUUCAGCAAACAAAAAAUCCAGCAGACCUCAAGUUCUUGGGUAAAAUCACAUGGUAGCCUUGAGACACAGGGGUACAGAAAAGACGUCUCUGGCUUUGCCUGGAAAGCCCAGGCCUGCCCAGCAAAGUCUAAAUGUCCCUGACAGUUUCUUGUUCUUUAUCCUUUUGCUUCAUUGUGAUCACGGCAUGUCAAUACCUCUCCAAAUGGUCUUAAUGAAGGUGGAUAGAUCCUUGGAGAGGGCAGCACCCAUGCUCCGGGCCACACAGGGUGGAAUCUGGUUAUGCUGGACAUGCAGGGAAGGUGACUGAAAGGUGGCUCGCAUCCACUGAAAGCUUCUUCAGCGUUGGGCUUUUGGGGACAGAGUGACUCGUUCAUUGGGACUGCAUACACCAGAAGGCUUCCUCAGAGUGUGUGGAUCACUGUCCUCCUGGCUGGUGGCCCUCUAUGGGUUUUCCCUUCCUCCUGUCCAUCACUGGGCUGUGUCUAGCAGAACAACUCAGGAGUUGUGGAGAUGGAGUGAUCCUGCUUGUUGCCGAGGCAACCAGGGCUACUGGACUCCUUGACCUACCAAAUGGCUCAACCAAUCCUGGGGCUCUACAGGCAGCAGGCAUUUGGUCACAGCAACCGAAAGUUAAUCCACUGUACAUGUGAAGAGAAGGAACGCUCUCUGAGCCAAGUGCUUGGAGCUGUUAGAAGUCUGGACAGCUGGCACCCUCUCGUCACCAGAACAGGCAAGGAAUCUAGAAGCAGCCAGCUAUGAGGCACCAGCCAGGAGAAAGAGGCUUUGUCUUGAUGACAUUGGCUUGGCUCCUGGAUUUUGCCAUACCUGAAGUUCACACUACCCCUGGGCACCAGGAGAGCCUUCUUUUCUGAUUUAUGCUGUUCCUAGUUGGGGUGUCUGCUAUCUGAAGCUACUGAAUGAGCCCUGAUUAUUGCAGACACCAUUUUUAAAAGACAUUUUUAGAGGGUUUUUUUUUCUGAGACAGGGUUUCUCUGUGGUUUUGGAGACUGUCCUGGAAAUAGCUAGUCAAGUGCUGGGAUUAAAGGCA
Molecule: long non-coding RNA, 1634 nt
Organism: Mesocricetus auratus (golden hamster)
Lineage: Eukaryota; Metazoa; Chordata; Mammalia; Rodentia; Cricetidae
Exons: 4
Source: RefSeq, a predicted model, not a curated record